RNAcentral lists this long non-coding RNA (220 nucleotides) under Capsicum annuum. Its description in RNAcentral is "long non-coding RNA (CANN_LNC009181)". The record is from RNAcentral. Lineage: Eukaryota; Viridiplantae; Streptophyta; Magnoliopsida; Solanales; Solanaceae.
CCAACCUAUACAAGGUGCUGCUUGCUUUCUCUCAGCCACUAGUGGCUUAUGUAGUGGUCGGCCUUCCUACGUGCUCCUCCUUGCCCCCCUACUUAAGAACCCAAAGGUCACCUUUGGAUGUUGUUGUGAUGCUUUGGUUAUGAAGGUUACCGCAGUCUAGGGGAUGGAUUCAGUCAGCGAAAGUUCCUCCAACUCAAUCAAUAUCAACAAGAUGUCGUGA